Molecule: ribosomal RNA, 995 nt
Filed under: uncultured bacterium
Lineage: Bacteria
Also listed under: 1 other name
Description: bacterial SSU rRNA
Rfam family: Bacterial small subunit ribosomal RNA
Source: RNAcentral
UGGGGAAUAUUGCACAAUGGGGGAAACCCUGAUGCAGCGACGCCGCGUGGAGGAAGAAGGUCUUCGGAUUGUAAACUCCUGUUGCUGAGGAAGAUAAUGACGGUACUCAACAAGGAAGUGACGGCUAACUACGUGCCAGCAGCCGCGGUAAAACGUAGGUCACAAGUGUUGUCCGGAAUUACUGGGUGUAAAGGGAGCGCAGGCGGGCGAUCAAGUUGGAAGUGAAAUCCAUGGGCUCAACCCAUGAACUGCUUUCAAAACUGGUCGUCUUGAGUAGUGCAGAGGUAGGCGGAAUUCCCGGUGUAGCGGUGGAAUGCGUAGAUAUCGGGAGGAACACCAGUGGCGAAGGCGGCCUACUGGGCACCAACUGACGCUGAGGCUCGAAAGUGUGGGUAGCAAACAGGAUUAGAUACCCUGGUAGUCCACACCGUAAACGAUGAUUACUAGGUGUUGGGAGAUUGACCCUCUCAGUGCCGCAGUUAACACAAUAAGUAAUCCACCUGGGGAGUACGACCGCAAGGUUGAAACUCAAAGGAAUUGACGGGGGCCCGCACAAGCAGUGGAGUAUGUGGUUUAAUUCGACGCAACGCGAAGAACCUUACCAAGUCUUGACAUCCCUUGACGAUGCUGGAAACAGUAUUUCUCUUCGGAGCAAGGAGACAGGUGGUGCAUGGUUGUCGUCAGCUCGUGUCGUGAGAUGUUGGGUUAAGUCCCGCAACGAGCGCAACCCUUAUGGUCAGUUACUACGCAAGAGGACUCUGGCCAGACUGCCGUUGACAAAACGGAGGAAGGUGGGGAUGACGUCAAAUCAUCAUGCCCUUUAUGACUUGGGCUACACACGUACUACAAUGGCGUUAAACAAAGAGAAGCAAGACCGCGAGGUGGAGCAAAACUCAGAAACAACGUCCCAGUUCGGACUGCAGGCUGCAACUCGCCUGCACGAAGUCGGAAUUGCUAGUAAUCGUGGAUCAGCAUGCCACGGUGAAUACGUUCCC